UGCGUACUUCCUCUGUCCUAUAUUAAGUGACUUUUAAUUACAUGUAUCUAGACGUAUUUUAGUGUAUAGAUACAUCCAUAUUUAGACAAAUUUGAGUCACUUAAUAUGGGAUGGAGGGAGUAUGUU
Non-coding RNA from Brachypodium distachyon (stiff brome), 126 nucleotides. NCBI's taxonomy places the organism in Eukaryota, Viridiplantae, Streptophyta, Magnoliopsida, Poales, Poaceae. The record is from Rfam.